This is a non-coding RNA of Cherax quadricarinatus, 8893 nucleotides long. Lineage: Eukaryota; Metazoa; Arthropoda; Malacostraca; Decapoda; Parastacidae. The record is from RefSeq and is a predicted model, not a curated record.
GUGCGCGCGCACACACAUCUGUCACUCGUGUGUGCCACAGAGUAUCGAUUUUAGACCAGUGUUCAGUUGGAUACUGUUCAUGCCACGAGUGGAAUAUGUAUCUUAGUGUGUAAGCCUUGAUUGAGUUAUCGCGUCAGUGUCAGUGAGGUUGAGAGAGAAGCAAAGAUGACCAAGGACAGGCUAGCAGCGCUCAGAGCCGCGCAGAGUGACGAAGAUGACGUUGGUCCAGACGAUGUGGCAGUCAAUGUCGACGGUAAUGUUGGCUAUAUGGACGACUUCUUUAACGAGGUGGAGGAGAUACGAGAGAUGAUAGAAAAGAUACAGAACAAUGUGGAAGAAGUUAAGAAGAAACAUAGUGAGAUUCUCUCCGCACCGCAGACGGACGAGAAGGUGAAACAGGAGCUGGACGACAUGAUGACAGACAUAAAGAAGACUGCCAACAGAGUCAGGGCAAAACUCAAAGUAAUCGAACAAAACAUCGAGUCAGAAGAACACGUGAGUAAGGCAAGUGCGGAUUUAAGGAUAAAGAAGACGCAACACUCGACAUUGAGUCGCAAGUUCGUUGAGGUGAUGACUGAGUACAACCGAACACAGACAGACUACCGUGAACGAUGCAAGGGCAGGAUACAGAGACAGCUCGAAAUUACUGGGCGCAACACGACUAGUGACGAGUUGGAAGACAUGUUAGAGCAGGGCAACCCGGCUGUUUUCACUCAAGGGAUCAUCAUGGAAACCCAGCAAGCAAAACAGACCUUGGCAGACAUUGAGGCUCGACACGCAGACAUCGUCAAGUUGGAAACUUCCAUCAGAGAACUUCAUGAUAUGUUCAUGGACAUGGCAAUGCUGGUGGAGAGUCAGGGUGAACUGAUGAAUAGGAUUGAGAAUCACGUACAGGAAGCACAGGACUAUGUCGACACUGCCAAACAGGAUACUAAGAAAGCCAUCAGAUACCAAAGCAAAGCACGGCGGAAGAAAAUUAUGAUCAUCAUAUGUGUUAUAGUUCUGUUAUUAGUUGUUGCUCUUAUUGUAGGAAUAAUUUUUUCAUAGAGCAGGUAGUUUGGUAGAGGGUGUUGGAAGUAUGCAGGUAGCACUGGCCAUGUAGGCUCUUCUCCAUGGUUGUACCGUGCUCAUACGGAGAACUAGUUUUUUUUUUUUUUUUUUUGUUUGUUUUUUGUUUGGGUCUUCAAGAAACUCAUUGUUUGGACUCUGUUUUAAGUAAGGGAGCAUAUUAAUUUGUAAGUGUAGUAUUUUAAACAUUAAGGAGGUCAGUGGAGACUGUCCUUACAUAACAAGGUCUAGAAAGAAGAGUGGAAAAACUUAUUAAAUUAGAAGUAGUAUAACUUCAGUAAUGUUUAUGGGUUUUAUUAACUAGCAGUUUGGUUGUCCAAGACUACAAGUUUUAAUAAUUAUAAAAUGUAUUAAAAUUAAUACAUGUGUAUGCUAUGAAAUAGACAAAAUGAAAAGUAUACAUUUGAUGUGAAUAAUUUGGGUUCAGUAAUUGUACCAGUGACUUUUACUGUCUCCAAAAGAAAAAAAAAAAAAUUCCAGAUAAGUCUUCCCCAGUGCCAGAUGUAUGUAGUAGAUAGAAGCCUCUUAUGAGGUUAUAUAAUUUUCUUAGAGCUAUUUCUGAACAAUUUAUUUGAAUUUAAUCUAGGUGGAAAUCCUGGAAUAAGCUAAUGCUUGCAAACCUUGGAGAGAAGUAGCAUAUAGUUAUUGUAGGUAAAGAACCAUGGUUGUAAGAUGCCUGUAUGGAAGUUGCUACAUAGCAUAUAAUGUGCCAAAUAUAUUAUAAUUUUUAGAUUUUUGGUGAUUCAUCACUAUUGAGCAGCAAACUUGUAGAGGUUACUCUGACAAGGAUCAGUAUGAAAGACAAAUUUGGUAGGCGGUAGUGAUGAAGAGUUGGUGAGAGUGCUAUCUAGUCCACAUAAUGGGGGAAGGGGUUAUAAACUUGGCAGCCUUACCACUUAUUUCUGAAUUGGGUGUCUUGUAGCCUAACUACAAGUAAUCCUUCAUGUGUUGGUAGGUCGUCAUCAGACACACAAUACAAUAUCCCCCACAUGUCGCUGAUCUACAAAUUGAUUGCAUUAGUCAUUAAUUCCAUCAGCACGGGUAAAUCUAAGGUUUUCAAGCAGUUUUUAUCAAGAACUCCAAAGUCUUUCAUUUUUGUCUUGCUAGUUUUUGUAAUUGUAUAAUUUUUGUAUUAAAAGUAUUUUAGCUUCUGUGGAUGUUACUGUAUUGUUUAUACAUAUUUUAGAAGAAAAUGAUAGCAAUUAAAAGUGGAUGUAUUCUGUUAAAUAACUGAUUUAAUGGAAAGUCAAAGGUUACAUAUACAGUAGUGUAUUUGUUAAGUUUUUACAAAAUACUUUGCUACAAAAAUGUAUGCAGGUUUUGCUGGAAAGGAAGUGAUAAACUGCUUGAUCUUUUUUAAAUGGGUAAACCAGUAUUGAUGACAGUUCUUAAGCAAACUACAUUUAAUAAUUACUUCAUGUAUUUAUAUUUACUUUGUGAGAAUAUUUUACAAAUCCAUGCAGAAAGCAAAUAUGUAAAUGUAGUCUGACUGGAGUUGUCAUGUCAUAGUGUCUAAGUUUUUAUGGAAUCUACUAGUUUUUAUGCUAAUUACUUGUAUAUGUUAUUAAUCUGGAGUAAUGCACUUACCAAAGUAAUCAUUAUAGCAUUAUAUUGAGUUUCUCUUUCAGUAAAUAUACAUUGAAUAUAUUUUAUCCAUAUGAAAGUUUUAUAAUCUCCUUUCAGGCAAUAUAUCAUGGUGUUAUUGUAAAUAUUUUUUUUGGUUUUCAUUGCUCACCUUUGCAUACUGAUGUGUAAAAUUUGUUUAUCCUAGUUUAUCUGGUACCAUUUCCCCCUCCCCACCUGUAACUAAAGCCUAAUUGUAUUAAUUUAGGUUUGCAUAAUGUGAUAAUAUACUAUUAAGUAACUAGGUCACAUUCUUAGUAGUAGUAGUCAAAUUGAUUGUCCAGAUAUAUUGUGUAAUGUAUGAGGGAAUGGUAAUGUCAGAGGAAAGCAUCAGGUAUUUGCGCUAAAAUAUUCAUGGGGUCAGAGUAACAUGAAUUUGAUGUUUACAAAUGAUUAAAAGUUUGUCUUCCACAUGCAUGCUCUAUAUAGUGAUAGUGGUGGUGGUCUGUAUAUUACUGGUGCUCCAUUAGCAGCUAUUUUUUUAACUCAUGCUUUUAAUAGAAUUAAAAAAAAUUCUGACUGCUUGUAUUUUUUAAGUGUAGUGCUAUGGAGUCUAGUGUGCAAUAACCUAACACUGCAGGAGACUGUAGUCUGCUUGUACAAAUUAUAAGAGAAAAUAGGCAUCUGAAGUGUUAUACAGUAUAAUGCAUAAAAAAUUUAAUAUAUUAUUCAAGUAGAAGAUAAUUAGAGUUUGCUAAUCAGAUCUACAAUUGAGGUGCUGCAAGUAGUAGGGGUGACACAAUAUUGUAAAAUUAAGCUGAAUAUGACUUGUCACCCCUACUAUAUGAAGAAACACAUGUAAGGUAAGACUGGUGAAGGGCAGCAUAAUUGCAUCCUCUCUCAAAGAGUAACAACAAUGCAGCCCAGAAAUGGAGGGAAUUAGUGGCAAUCUUGGACAUAUGGUGAAGUUGAUUAACAUUACCACAUACAACAUUGUAAGUUUCCCUGAUAUUGAAUUUGCUUCUGGUAUAGCAAUUGUAGGAGAAGCCCAAGGAAUUAAGUAGCAUGAAAAAAUGCAGCUAGCAGAAGAGGAAUUUUGGUAUGGCAUACAACACAUGUAAAUGGAUGCUUUAAUAAGAAUGGAAUGGAGACAGUCAAAGUGAUCUUUGAAUCAUGGGAGUUGAGAACUUCAUUGUGCAAAAUGCAUGUCUUUAUAAACUUGUAAAUGCCAAUAAAGCGAAGGUUUACGAAGCAUGCAGCUAGCAGAGUGAUGAGGGUCAUCAGAUACACAGUGAUGUAUAAGUGCACUGUGUAUAAUAUAUUCUAAGGCAUUUUUACAGCAUGUACACUAUUUCAGAAAAGUGUGCCAGGACUGUGCAUGUGAAACACUGCUACUGGCACAGUCAGGGUUGAUAAACAUGGUAAAUGUCUUCAAUAAAUAAUAUGGUUGCAGUGGCACAUGAUGUUAGGGAGACAUUAAUUUGCUUGUGACCAUGCCUAACCUUUACCCUUGUGCAAAGAGCCUCCUUAGGAAAUACGUGCCAGAAGCGAAGUUAAUGAAUGCUAUCUACACAAUUUACGUUGAAUAGGUGAAGGAAUAAUACCAAAAUGUGGAACUAGUAAUGCCUAAUUUUUACCAUGGUGUAUUCAAUAGGGACUUCAUUUCUGAUUUUGAGCCUCCUAAGAGUGGUACCUGUAACAUUUGUGACAAAAUAAACUUGGCAAUGGUAUUUCGACAUCAUCACUGAACAGGAGCAUCUGCAAAAGCUUUCUGGCAGGCUCCGAUGAUAUUCAUGAUGUGGAGACUUCUGGGGAUGAUUUCGACUUCAGAAUAACCAAACAGGAUGUAGAAUCUCACCACAAAUACAUCAGAUGGACAUGCAAGAAAGAAGAUCAUGAUCAUGCUGUGUGUGGCAAUACUAUGCGUGGUGCUCGCUUCCACCAUAGGAAGCUACUUCGGCUUGUAACUCAACCUUCAGGCACCUUGUACAUGGUAGGUCUUCAAUGAAAGGCACGUAUGUGUCUCUCUCUCUCCUUCCUGAUGUUCCAGUUUUGUGAGCUGUAAAUAGUGUAGCAGCCUCGAUGGUUAGACCCAUCAUCUCUCAGCACCAGACACCGUAGCACUGCAUAAAACACGCUGUCGAUUCUUAUUUUUAAUGCAGUAAUUCUUGACAACCUAUAUAUUCAUUGUAGAAAAAGGUCACCUUGUAUAGAGUAUCUUUUAUCUUUGGCAUUUGCCAAAUCAAAGGUUUCUUUUGUGAUUGUGAUUGGAUUAAGUCAGCUUGUUUAAUUUUAAGGUUUAAGUCUGACAUGUAUGCACUAUGCAAAUACAGUAUAUAAAAACUAUUAUGAAGUGUGCAUGGUUCUGAUGAAUGGUACUGUAUACAAAGCUAUAAAUUUCUUUGUUCAUUUUGGUUAAUAAAAGUUUAGUAGUGUUUCAACUACUUGUUGAAAGUAUUUCCCUAUUUGUCAUUGAAAGUGCCCUAUUACUCAUAGAAACAACUCGUAUUUAUGCCUAAACAGAUGUGUAAAGAUAAGACAUUUGUUUAGAAGGACUCACACCUGGGUGAAAUGAGAGGUCUUUACGGAGGUCUGAUGCUGGGAGAAUCCCAGAUGUCUCCAGCAUAUAUGGUCAUCAAGGCAAAUAGAAUAUGUAUUUCAUUGAUACUGUAUGUCCCAAAUUGUUUUAAUCUCCUUAAUUUUUUGCAAGCCAUAGGCAGAAAUGCAAAUAUGUGAAAUAUUUCACAAAUAAUGGAGAUAUCCUUAAAAUUCCUAAAUGUGCUUGAAUUAUCAUUGGUUAAUGUUGGUAAAAUGUGUGUCAAAACUCUUUAGAAUCGGAUAUGUAAUGCCAAAACCAAUAAAGUAUUUGACAAAUAAUACAACUGUUAUAAAGUAUAUUGCUCACAGAUUGUGUGGGUAUGUACCUUAUUAUUAACAUGGCCAAACAUGUUUUACUUCAGAACUUGUAAAUUGGGAGUAAUUGCCUUUUUUCAAGUGUACAUGGGUGCUUGAGUGUAGCUUGUAAUAAAGGUUGGGACUUGCAGUAUACCCUCAUGAAGACAGGUGUUGCUGGUCACAUAUGUGAGUGGCAUUCAGAGUAAACAAUAUGGAAGGUAGAAGUUACUUUUAACAGCUUUAAACAUUCUAGGAUUUGUAGUAAAUGUUGAAACUGAGAAUGAUGCACCAUCAUCCUCAUUUUACUAUUGUUUUUACACUGUAGAGUGCAAUUGUAUAAAAUGUACUUAUUGUUUGUAUAUGAUAUAAUUUUUUCAGAGCGGGCUAUGCUAGUUACUUGUAAGUUGAAAAUGUUGAAAAUAGUGACUGCCCAUGUGCUUUUUAUGAAACCAAAGCUUGAUAUGUUUCAACAACUUAUUGUCUGUGGUAGUUUGUUGUAUUACUGGGAGACCAGAUUCUAAACUUUUUAAAAUGAACCCUUUGUAGACUAGUUCAUUUUCAAUUUAUCAGUGAUGACUGAACACACUCAACUUAAUUCAAAAUUGAAAUACUGUAAAUGUAUAUGAAAAUUCUUGAAAUCAGAUGCAUGAAUUGCCCAUCAGAAUAUAAUACUGUGUUUUAAAUAGUGAUAUCAAUAAAUUAAAGAUAAUAUUACACUAGAGUUGAUAAACUAAUUUACCAUAGAGUGAAGCGAGUUAUGGUUCAUAAAAAAUAAAUUAUUUACAUGGUGAAAGGUCUCCCAUAUUACAAAUUUGUUUUGGGGAAUCAGAUCAUAGUUUUAUCCUCAGUUACAUUAUUAGCAGCUGACCAGUUAAUAGAGCUGGCUUGUCUGGGGGUGUAUGUAAGGUUCGCGGUAAACGUAGAGGAAAAUGUUGUUUGUCAUAGGCAAUAACUGUUUUUUUUUUUUUAAUGCGUUUGAAUUAUAAGAUUCUUAUAUACAUUCAUGUGAUUAAUAUUUCAUUUUGAAACUAAAGUAAAUUUAACUAAUGAAAGUGAAGAGUACCUGUUGCCUGUGAAUUACAAAGCAAGUUUUCCUUCUAGAUGUGGCCUUGCAGACUAAGCAUUUUGUAUAACUUUAAAUAAGGUCAAGUGUAGGACUUGGAUACAACAGCUGGAUAUGCAAUAGUAUUAAAUUCAUAUUGAAUUUUUGCUGGAAAUUAAUAUCUUCAUUUGUGGAAAUAUUAUUGUAUGUUGCAUAUUUGUUCCCCAUAAAUAUGAGAGGAACACUUCUAAUAAUAUAAUUUUAAAUGUGGUAAGACUUUAAAAACUGCCCACAAAGUUGGUUGAAUUUUCUGAAACUGUUACUGAGGCACUUAAAUUGAGUACAGUUUAUAGAUCUUGGUUUCUCAAAACUUAACUAGUUGUAACCAAUGUCUUAAAAAUGCAAAAAAAGUUUUUUCCAUUUGUAGCUGAUCUGAAUAGUUAGAGCAAUAAUACAUUAAUGUUCAUCAAUCAAUGCAUAUCCUAGAUUUACUUUUACCUUGAUGUAAUGUCCAUUGAAAUACUUAUAUUUGAUAUUGUAUUUCAUCUCUUAGGAUUUUUAGAGCAGAACAGUUUGAUUACAGUGUAAUAACUUCUUGUAUACCUAUAUCCAUAAUUUCUUUGGUCAUUAUAUCACAUGAGAAUUGUAAGUAGGACCUUCACUGUUGAAAUGCACACCAGUAGUGGAUUAUAAUGUUAUAGGAUAAACUUUGAAUUCACUGCCAAACUUGCAACACAAAAGUAAUUAGGAACAAAUCUGAAUGAUUAGCACACUAGGCAAAGACAUUCCAGAGAAGUGCACUAUUAGGGUUAUUGGUGUUGAUGGCUCUGCUCAUGUGCAUUGUAGUUGUUUUGAUGAAAUGAGGAUUAUUCUAAAAUGGGCAAUUGAUAUAAAAACUUUUUCUUAGAAAUCUAUUAUCCCAAAUAGGGAACUUUCAAUGUGUUAGUAUUUGAUGGAAGUCUGUUGAGACACCACCAUGAAAGUGUGACGUUAUGCAUUGACGUUGUCUUGAGCUGCUUCGUGCAAAGCCCAGUAGGUCAACUUACUGAUCAUACUAUGCAUUUUUGUGUUUCUCAAAUGUUAUACUCCUCCUUUUAAUGUCAGUUCCCCAUUUUUUAGUGUAGAGAUUAGAUAAAACUAGAGUGUGUUGCUCUACGCAAUUUCUGAUUAAUGGAAGUGUGAUGUGAUCAGUGAUUCUGAGCAGAUGGUAAUACUUCAAUAAGUCUCAUUUUUAUCUACAGUAGUUUAAGGAAAAUGAGCCUUCUUUGAAAAUUUUAGCAGAGGCUCAAAAUUACUGCAUUCGUCACAUUUAUUUGGCCAAACAUUACUCUUGCACUCUUAGUCCAAGUCCCCUAGGAUAAAAAAAAAAAAUGUUCCUGCAGCAUUGUAUGACUAUUCUGGAGGCAUUGGAACCUAAGGGCUUGUAAAAUUCAAAUCUUGGAGAAAAUUUAGCAUUCCAAGUAUGUGGCAGGAUAAGAAUUUUUACUCUUUAAAUAAUCCAGGGAAUAACAAGUUAAUUACAAAUAAUAUGAAAGGCUCAAGAGAUUCAUCAUGUCACACAUAUAGGCUGGCUUUAUCAGAGUAAUGUUUAUAUUGUGUGUUUAAUAGUUGCCUGUUGAAAAAGCUUGAAGGUAAUGAUGAGCCUUUUUAUCCUUUCCAGUGGGCACAUUUUUAUAUACAGUUAGUAGGAUGUUUGUACCUUGUGUUAGAAAGCUAUAGAUAUACUUUAAAAGAUAUGUAAGACUCAUUGAUAAUGAAUUUUUUUUAACGAAAAGUAAUUGACUUCGUUAUUGCGUGAUCACUAUCAUAAUUCAGUAUGAGGAAUAGCAAGGAUCUGAAUUAUGAAUCUUUUUCUUCUUGGCCUGUGUGCUAGUCAAGUGUUAACAUUGUUAAAUAUUAAACAAAUAGGCAGUAUGUUGGGGAACUGGGUACUGUAGAAUGCAGGCAUAUUCUCUCUAUUAUCAUAUUGGAAUAAACUUAAUGACCAAAUAGAUAUUGUUUACACUUAGGAUCCUGAGCGGAGAUAUCACAAAGACUUCUUACCUAAACCUUCAAGAAACUAUUGCAUUUAAUUGAUCUUGUCUUUCCUUUUUAUUAUUUUCCAUAAAUUUUUGAGAUUCUACUCUUGCUAUUCUCUCAUUCAGUCCUGUUGUGAUGAUCAGUUAUUGUACGUGCGUGUGUGUGUGUGUCUGUCAUUUCCCAGUUUUGCGACCGUUCCAGACCACUGCUCGGGGUCCUUGUAUUUGUUAUUGUGAUAGAGAUGUGUGUGUGUAUCCAAUGACUACAGAGGAUCAUGUUGUUAAAAUAUGUAAUUUAUAUUGAUAA